Molecule: transfer RNA, 71 nt
Filed under: Capra hircus (goat)
Lineage: Eukaryota; Metazoa; Chordata; Mammalia; Artiodactyla; Bovidae
Also listed under: 1 other name
Rfam family: tRNA
About the family: Transfer RNA (tRNA) molecules are approximately 80 nucleotides in length. Their secondary structure includes four short double-helical elements and three loops (D, anti-codon, and T loops).
Source: Rfam by way of RNAcentral
CCCUGAUUGCUCAAACAGUAAAGAAUCUGCCUGCAAUGUAGGAGACCCAGGUUCGAUCCCUGGGUCAGGAA